AAAGCACUUCGGUUUCUGCCCUGCUUGGCGUG
This 32-nucleotide non-coding RNA is filed under the name Homo sapiens (human). The record is from RNAcentral. Lineage: Eukaryota; Metazoa; Chordata; Mammalia; Primates; Hominidae.